RNAcentral lists this ribosomal RNA (586 nucleotides) under Colletotrichum gloeosporioides. RNAcentral describes it as "eukaryotic LSU rRNA". The stretch from base 211 to 364 matches the Rfam family "5.8S ribosomal RNA". Lineage: Eukaryota; Fungi; Ascomycota; Sordariomycetes; Glomerellales; Glomerellaceae. The record is from RNAcentral.
ACAAGGUCUCCGUUGGUGAACCAGCGGUGGGAUCAUUACUGAGUUUACGCUCUACAACCCUUAGUGAACAUACCUACAACUGUUGCUUCGGCGGGUAGGGUCUCCGCGACCCUCCCGGCCUCCCGCCUCCGGGCGGGUCGGCGCCCGCCGGAGGAUAACCAAACUCUGAUUUAACGACGUUUCUUCUGAGUGGUACAAGCAAAUAAUCAAAACUUUUAACAACGGAUCUCUUGGUUCUGGCAUCGAUGAAGAACGCAGCGAAAUGCGAUAAGUAAUGUGAAUUGCAGAAUUCAGUGAAUCAUCGAAUCUUUGAACGCACAUUGCGCCCGCCAGCAUUCUGGCGGGCAUGCCUGUUCGAGCGUCAUUUCAACCCUCAAGCUCUGCUUGGUGUUGGGGCCCUACAGCCGAUGUAGGCCCUCAAAGGUAGUGGCGGACCCUCCCGGAGCCUCCUUUGCGUAGUAACUUUACGUCUCGCACUGGGAUCCGGAGGGACUCUUGCCGUAAAACCCCCCAAUUUUCCAAAGGUUGACCUCGGAUCAGGUAGGAAUACCCGCUGAACUUAAGCAUAUCAAUAGGCCGGAGGAAA